AUGCACUUACGCCGAGGCCAGAUGGCCGCUGUCGGAGCCCCAAGCAUGCUCAUGCCACUGCUUCGUACUGCAAUGCUCAUCUGCAGCUUGAUGAGCCUUUGCCCCAGUGUAUGCUCCUUAGCCACACCCGCACACCAUAAUGCAUCAGAAUCCGACAGGCAUGCCCUGCUAUGUGUUAGGUCACACUUCUCCGACCCUGAUGGAGCACUACACUCAUGGAGGAGCGAAUCCGUCGCAUUCUGCAAUUGGCGUGGGGUGUCAUGCAGUACACGCCACGCAGGUCGUGUUGUUGCCCUUCACCUUGAAUCACUGAACAUUACUGGACAAAUAUCUCCUUGCAUUGCAGGACUUCGUUUCCUCCGUGGAAUUCACAUAGCUGAUAACCAUAUCAGUGGCCACAUACCUCCUGAGAUUGGUCGCCUAACCCGACUCAGAUACCUCAACCUUAGCAGGAAUUCUAUCACCGGGGUUAUUCCGGAUACCAUAUGUUCCAGCCCCCACCUGGCGGUCAUCGACCUGAGCAUAAAUUCCAUCACAGGGGUGAUUCCGGAUAGCAUAUCCUCUUGUUCCAGCCUCGAGGUCAUCCGCCUGCGGAAUAACUACAUUGAAGGUGAAAUCCCUCCAGCUCUUGCACAUUGCUCGUCUCUUCAGGAAAUUGUUCUGAGCAAUAGCAAACUCAACGGAACCAUCCCUCCAGGGAUCGGUUUGCUUCACAACCUUAAAUUUCUGUUUCUCCCUAGCAACAAACUUGAUGGCAGCAUUCCUUCGUCUUUGGGGAGUAGCCCAUCACUGUCCAUACUUGUCCUCCGGAAUAAUAGCCUAUCUGGUGAAAUGCCACCAUCGUUAGCAAAUUCUUCUUCACUCUACUACCUUGACCUCAUGAGAAACAACCUUAAUGGAGAGAUCCCUUCCACGCUUUUUGAUAGCCCAUCUCUUGUUACCUUAGAUCUCUCGUAUAAUGAAUUCUCAGGUCCAAUACCAGCUUUCUCACUGUCAUCCUCCAAGCUAAAAUACCUUAGCCUAACCGAAAACAAGCUUUCAGGAGAAAUUCCACCGACACUGGGAAACUUUUCGUCCCUAUGUUCCUUGUUGCUUGCUCAAAAUAAGCUGCACGGAAGCAUUCCAGAAAGUUUAACCAGAAUUCAAAGCCUAGAAACACUAGAUUUAGCUUAUAAUUACUUGUCUGGUGCAGUUCCACCAGCUAUUUACACAGUCGCAUCUCUCGCUUAUCUUGGCCUUGGUGUCAACCAACUUGCUGGGAGAAUUCCAACCGACAUUGCAUACACUCUUCCAAACAUCGAAACAUUGGUCAUGGAAGGAAACCAUUUUGAUGGUCCACUCCCUGCAUCACUAGUUAAUGCAUCCAACCUUCAAGUGCUAGAGCUCCGUGACAAUUCAUUCACUGGUUUGAUUCCUUCUUUCUGGUCUUUGCCCUACUUGACCCAAUUAGACCUUGGUGCAAACCAGUUCGGAGAGGUAGACUGGAGUUCAUUGUGCUCAGUACCAGCCUCUGCACAGUUAAAAGCAAUGUAUCUAGAUAACAACCAGAUUCAUGGAACAAUACCUAGUACCAUUGGAAAUCUUCCGAGCAGCUUACAGUUGUUGUAUUUUUCAGAGAACAGAUUUACUGGAACCAUACCUUCAGAGAUAGGAAAACUCACCAACCUCACAGUUCUCCAAUUUACGGGAAACUUACUCUCAGGGGGCAUUCCUGACACAAUUGGAAACCUCAGGAACUUGUUUCUCCUCGGUUUGUCAAGGAAUAAACUUUCUGGAGAGAUCCCAAAAUCAGUUGGUAACUUUGAAAAGCUAGGUGAGCUUUAUAUGCAAGAAAACAACUUGAGCGGGUCCAUACCUUCGAGCUUAGCAGGCUGCAAAAAUUUGGUAAUUCUAAACCUAUCAUGCAAUGGUUUCCAUGGAAGUAUUCCAUCUGGGCUCCUGUCUAUAUCCUCUCUUUCAGCAUGCCUAGAUUUGUCAUAUAAUAAGCUCAAUGGAUCCAUAUCAUCUGAGAUCGGUAGCUUGAUUAAUCUUGACUCCCUUAAUAUUUCCAACAACCAAUUAUCUGGAGAGAUUCCACAUGCAGUUGGUGAGUGUCUUCACUUGGAAUCACUUCGAUUAGAGGUGAAUUUCCUUCAUGGGAGCAUUCCAGAAUCUUUCAUGAGCUUAAGGGGCAUAAAUGAGAUGGAUCUAUCUCAAAACAACUUGUCUGGUGAAAUACCAGACUUUCUUGGGACCUUUAGCUCUCUGCAACUUCUCAAUUUGUCCUUCAACAGCCUUGAGGGGAUAGUUCCUACAGGUGAUGCAUUUAUCAAUUCAAGUAAGGUGUUCAUACAAGGAAACAAGGAUUUAUGUACAAGGUCCGCAAUGCCUCAGCUACCACUUUGCACAUCAACUAGAAACAAAAGAAGGGAAACCUUGCACAUCAUAUGUAUAGUUUUUGCACUUGCUAGCGUUGUUACAGUCCUGGUGUCAGUUGCUGCAACCAUUCUUUUGAAGAAAAGAAAUAAAUCAAAACAACACACUGAUGAAUCACCCAAUGAGUUGAUGAAGUUCUCAUAUGCUGAGCUUGCUAGAGCUACUAACGAUUUUUCGUUGGCAAACCUAGUUGGCUCAGGGAGUUUUGGAAUAGUCUAUAAAGGUAUAUUCGAGUUUCAGAUGCACCCAGUUGCGAUUAAGGUUUUCAAACUAGACAAUAAUGGAGCACCAAAUAACUUUUUAACUGAAUGUGAGGUGUUAAGAAAUACUCGUCACCGAAAUCUCAUGCGGGUCAUUAGUCUAUGCUCAAGCUGCGAUAAAAUGGGAAAUGAGUUCAAAGCUCUGGUCCUUGACUACAUGCCCAAUGGCAACCUAGAGGGGUGGCUCCAUUCAGAAGUACAUGAACAAAGACAAAGGAGGCCACUGAGUCUCGGAUCAAGAAUAAUGAUAGCUAUGGACAUCGCCGCAGCCUUGGACUAUCUCCACAAUUGGUGCACACCUCCUUUGGUUCAUUGUGAUUUGAAGCCAAGCAAUGUCCUUUUGGAUGAUGCUAUGGGUGCUCAUGUUAGUGACUACGGAUUGGCAAAGUUUCUGUGUACCAACCCUUCAGUAAGUGAAAAGGAUUUAACAAGUGCACAUGGGCCAAGAGGAUCAGUUGGUUAUAUUGCACCAGAAUACGGGAUGGGUUGCAAGAUAUCGACUGCAGGUGACGUCUACAGCUAUGGUGUUAUUCUGCUGGAGAUGCUCACUGGGAAGCAUCCAACUGAUGAUAUCUUCAUGGAUGGACUGAACCUUCACGGAUUGGUAGUCUCUGCAUUUCCACAAGAUAUUUGUAACAUUUUAGAGACCAGUAUUAUUCCAUAUUAUGAACUCGAAGAAGCAAAUCACAGAUUAGAUGGUGGGGACCGUCUGGUGGUUGGAAUGCAAAAUUGUAUCAUGCAGUUUGCUAAACUUGGCCUAGAAUGCUCCAUGGACUCACCAAGUGAUCGGCCGGCAAUGCAAGAUGUGUAUGCUGAAAUCACAAUGAUCAAAGAAACAUUUUCAACACUGCACUGCUGA
Molecule: ribosomal RNA, 3534 nt
Filed under: Triticum aestivum (bread wheat)
Lineage: Eukaryota; Viridiplantae; Streptophyta; Magnoliopsida; Poales; Poaceae
Description: partial small subunit ribosomal RNA
Source: RNAcentral